RNAcentral lists this ribosomal RNA (738 nucleotides) under uncultured bacterium. RNAcentral's name for it is "bacterial SSU rRNA". It matches the Rfam family "Bacterial small subunit ribosomal RNA", at positions 45 to 752 of the family's 1533-position model. The record is from RNAcentral.
UGCUAUACAUGCAAGUCGAGCGAGCCGAACUAAUUGAUUACCUUCGGGUAUGAAGUUAGGGAAGCGAGCGGCGGAUGGGUGAGUAACACGUGGGUAACCUACCCUAUAGUCUGGGAUACCACUUGGAAACAGGUGCUAAUACCGGAUAAAAGGAGAGAUCACAUGAUUUCUUUUUGAAAGGCGGCGUAAGCUGUCGCUAAAGGAUGGACCCGCGGUGCAUUAGCUAGUUGGUAAGGUAACGGCUUACCAAGGCAACGAUGCAUAGCCGAGUUGAGAGACUGAUCGGCCACAUUGGGACUGAGACACGGCCCAAACUCCUACGGGAGGCAGCAGUAGGGAAUCUUCCACAAUGGACGCAAGUCUGAUGGAGCAACGCCGCGUGAGUGAAGAAGGUUUUCGGAUCGUAAAGCUCUGUUGUUGGUGAAGAAAGAUAGUGAGAGUAACUGCUCAUUAUUUGCCGGUAAUCAACCAGAAAGUCACGGCUAACUACGUGCCAGCAGCCGCGGUAAUACGUAGGUGGCAAGCGUUGUCCGGAUUUAUUGGGCGUAAAGCGAGCGCAGGCGGAAAGAUAAGUCAGAUGUGAAAGCCCUCGGCUUAACCGAGGAAUAGCAUCGGAAACUGUCUUUCUUGAGUGCAGAAGAGGAGAGUGGAACUCCAUGUGUAGCGGUGGAAUGCGUAGAUAUAUGGAAGAACACCAGUGGCGAAGGCGGCUCUCUGGUCUGUAACUGACGCUGAGGC